Molecule: unclassified non-coding RNA, 708 nt
Filed under: Hevea brasiliensis (rubber tree)
Lineage: Eukaryota; Viridiplantae; Streptophyta; Magnoliopsida; Malpighiales; Euphorbiaceae
Source: RNAcentral
UAAAUGAACACUAUGUUUUCAAAGCCACAUGAGAAUCUGAACCUUAUAGAAUGACUAACUUGUGAAACAACUAAACUUCUUAGGAAAGCUUUCUAACCAGUUUCUUUAUGAUUAAUAUUGUAACCCUCUGUCCAAUUUUAUCUAUCGUCUAAGGUUUUUACACCAUGAUUAAGAAAGUAAUUAAAUCACCUAAAUUAUAAUAAAAUACUCCUUGAUUUGACUACAUUACUCUUUAUCUCUCUUAAUUAAGAGAGAGAUAGAGAGAGGGAGGUGAUAAGAUAGGUUUUAGGAAAUUGUAAAAGUAGUUAAUGUUUUUAGUAGAGAUAAGGGUAAAAUUGAAAAUAAUUAAUUAGUGCUCCUUGAUCUUCUCAAAACGACAGUUAAUUUUGGACAAAAUAACUUUUAAAAAACGACAAAUGGAAGGAGGGAGCAGAUAAUAAGACCCAUCGAGCAAAACCAUGAAUCCUAUAGGCCUGCUGCCGAAAGAAAAUUGAAAUAGACUAUAAUGUACAACUCAACAUAAUUAUCCUAAACCCCCAAAGUACAACUUAAAUAAGCUUAGUGAGAUGUGACAAGACCAAAUAACCUCAGUAAAUUAAUCUUUCUAUCUUCCUUUUCUCUCUCGCACCCUCCUCCCCACCCACCACACGCCUUUCUGCUUCUUCUCUCUCUCUGUCCUUCCCUUCCUCUCCCUCUCUCUCUCUCUCU